Molecule: long non-coding RNA, 384 nt
Filed under: Theobroma cacao (cacao)
Lineage: Eukaryota; Viridiplantae; Streptophyta; Magnoliopsida; Malvales; Malvaceae
Description: long non-coding RNA (TCAC_LNC002915)
Source: RNAcentral
UAUUGUUCAAAAUCCGUUUGUAGUGUGUGAAUAUUAUGGAGAUUGACACGCUAGUGAUCAAUGCCUAGUUGGCAACAUAGACACUAUUCAGUUUAUGGGGAACAAACAGCAAAACAACCCUUUCUCCAACCCCAAAAUUACCAGAUGGAGGAACCAUCCAAACUUAUCAUAAGGAAACAAUCAAGGAGCAUCAGUUUCAGGGUCGAAUAUUUCUCUUGGUUUUCAACAGUAAUCAAGAGCCUUUAUUCCAAAUAAGAAACCAUCAAUGGAGGAGUUGCUAAUGCUGUACAUGGCCAAGACAAACUCCCCCAUCAUAGUCAAGUAGCCUCAUUGAGAAACCUUGAGAUGCAAGUUGGACAAUUGGCAAGCUUACUCAACAACAAA